GUUCAGCUGGCGAGUCGUAAAUAGAACGAAAUGCGCGUCCUGGAU
Molecule: non-coding RNA, 45 nt
Organism: Schistosoma mansoni
Lineage: Eukaryota; Metazoa; Platyhelminthes; Trematoda; Strigeidida; Schistosomatidae
Source: Rfam